AGGCAGCAGGCGGCAGCUUCGUUCUCCGUGCGCCCUGCUCUGCCUUCCCCGCAGCCUCCUCCAGCGUCGCUCCGCCGGCCGGGCCCCCGCUGCCUUCUCCCGCCUGUGCCGAGCCCCUCCCGGGACGCACCGGCCCCCGGCGCGCUCCCACUUGGACUAAGCUGCUGCUGCUGCUUCAGGGACUGAGCGCCCCAGGGCCGCCCGCCUCCUCCUCGCCCCAUGGCUCCCCUGCUCCUGGCCGGCUUCCUCGCCCUGCUCUGCGCACAGCUGGCCCAACCGGCUGGGGUGUUUGAGCUCCAGGUGCACUCGUUCCGCAGCAGCGCCCACAGCCUGUGUCCCGGCGCCAGCCCCUGCCGCCUCUUCUUCCGCGUCUGCCUCAAGCACGCCCAGGCUGUCGUGUCUCCCGAGCCCCCCUGCACCUUCGGGGCCGCCCUGAGCGACAUGGUCCCCGCCGACCGCAAUGCUGUGGCCACCAGCGCACCCAUCCACGUGCCCUUCCACUUCAAGUGGCCGGGCACCUUCUCCCUCAUCAUUGAGACGUGGAGAGCCGAGGCCGGCGAGCCGUCCACAGAGGAUGCCCAGAACCUGAUCAGCCGCCUGGCCACGCGGCGCCGGCUGGCGGUGGGCGAGGACUGGUCCCAGGACGUGCAGCUGGGCGAGCAGAGCGAGCUGCGCUAUUCCUACCACGUGCUGUGUGACGAGCACUACUACGGCGAGGGCUGCUCCGACUACUGCCGCCCCCGCGACGACCCCUUCGGGCACUACGCCUGCGACGAGCUGGGCGCCCGCGUCUGCCUGCCCGGCUGGAGGGGGGAGUACUGCUCCGAGGCCAUCUGCCUGCCGGGCUGCAGCGAGGGGCACGGCUACUGCGAGCGGCCCGGAGAAUGCAAGUGCCGGAUCGGCUGGCAGGGGCGCCUGUGCGACGAGUGCGUCCGCUACCCGGGCUGCCUGCACGGCACCUGCAGCCAGCCCUGGCAGUGCAACUGCCGGGAGGGCUGGGGCGGCCUCUUCUGCAACCAGGACCUCAACUACUGCACCAACCACCGGCCCUGCCAGAACGGCGCCACCUGCACCAACACGGGCCAGGGCAGCUACACCUGCAGCUGCCGGGCCGGCUUCACGGGCACCGGCUGCGAGACGGAGACCAACGAGUGCGACAGCAACCCCUGCAAGAGCGGCGGCAGCUGUGAUGAUCUGGAGAACGACUACAAGUGCACCUGCCCCCAGGGGUUCUACGGGAAGAACUGCGAGAUCAGCGCCAUGACCUGCGCUGACGGGCCCUGCUUCAACGGAGGCACCUGCGCCGAGAAGCCCACGGGCGGCUACACCUGCCACUGCCCCUUGGGCUACCACGGCUCCAACUGUGAGAAGAAGAUCGACCGGUGCACCAGUAACCCGUGUCUGAACAGUGGCCUCUGCCUGGACCUGGGCCGCCGGGUGCUCUGCAAGUGCCGGCCGGGCUUCGCCGGCACCCGCUGCGAGCGCAACAUUGACGACUGCGCCUGCAACCCCUGCGUCAACGGCGGCACCUGCCUGGACGGGCCCAACAGCUACACCUGCUCCUGCACCCUGGGCUACGGCGGCAAGGACUGCAGCGUGCGGGUGGACGCCUGCGGCUCCAGCCCCUGCCUCAACAGCGGCACCUGCUACACCCACUUCUCCGGCCACGUCUGCGAGUGCUCGGCCGGCUACAUGGGCUCCAGCUGCGAGUUCAAGGUGCAGAGCCCCAGCCCGGCCAGCAGCCGGCAGCUGGCGGUCGACGACCCCUUCCCGAUGGCCCUGGCCGUCUCCUUCGCCCUGGGGCUGGUGACUCUGGCCCUGGUGGCGUGCGCCGCGCUGGCGGUGCUGCGGCAGGUGAGGCAGGGCCGCAAGGUGGGGAAGGGCACCGUGCAGAAUGACCUGGACACCAUCAACAACCUGAAGGAGAGGGAAGGUUUCCUCAUUGCACCCGGGCGGUUCAAGGUGCCCAACAAAGAGCCCAAGUUUGGCAGCGACGGCCUCCGGGACAAGUUCAAUUGCAAGCGGAAGCUGCUGGAUCUCAGCGGGGACGCCGCCUGCAAGAAGAAGCCGGAGAAUAAGAAAUCGGAGCCGAUCUUCUCCCGUGCCCCUGCUGGGUACCCCAAAGAAGGCCCCUAUCGCCCUAUUUAUAUUAUCCCGGACCAGACGGAGCCCUGCAUCUUUGCCACCGAGGUUUAAAAGUGGCCCCCCCAACCUUGGACCUGUGGCUCCGUCCCCCCCGCCCCGCUAAAGAAUGUUUACAGAGACGCCUCCUUGGACGCGUGGAUCAGCGGCGGACGACACUGCUUCCCUGUCGAGCUGAAGGAAGGAAGCCCCUCCCCUUGCCACUUGGCCAAUCAGAGCGGUGGAUGGGGAUAAGCCCCUCCCCCCGUGCAAGGGGCGGAGCCACGUGCUGAGACCACAUGGCGAAAAGCUCUCGACGCCCUUUAUGUGCCAGAGAUGGGUUGGAAGGGAGGCGGUUAGACGGGACGCUCCACUAAUGGAUUCUUUUGCUUUCAGGAACCAAUGGCGCAAGGGGAUGGGAACGACUCUUUAAAGCGUUACAAAGCUGGGGGCGGGGGGGAGAAAAAUCUUUAAUGGUUUUUUAAUUAUUAUUAUUAUUUGAAAACUGCGUUUGUUUUAAUUUAAAACAAAAGAAGUGCCGUGUACAAAAAGCUUUUUGGAGAUACUCUAUAUACAUAUUUAAAUUGUAUAUAUUGUAUAUUUAUAAGAAGUGUCCUGUACAUAUAUCCCUGUCUGUUUCCCGGAUUUUUUUUUUCCUUUUACAUUUUUGUA
Mauremys reevesii (Reeves's turtle) is the source of this 2793-nucleotide RNA transcript. It is a transcript of the gene named delta like canonical Notch ligand 3, with no coding region annotated. The transcript has 10 exons. The record is from RefSeq and is a predicted model, not a curated record. NCBI's taxonomy places the organism in Eukaryota, Metazoa, Chordata, Testudines, Geoemydidae.